This 253-nucleotide ribosomal RNA is filed under the name uncultured bacterium. RNAcentral's name for it is "partial 16S ribosomal RNA". It matches the Rfam family "Bacterial small subunit ribosomal RNA", at positions 524 to 776 of the family's 1533-position model. The record is from RNAcentral.
GACGAGGGAUGCAAACGUUAUCCGGAAUCACUGGGCGUAAAGCGUCUGUAGGUGGUGAUGCAAGUCACUGGUGCAAAACUCUGGCUCAACCGGAGGAAAGCCAGUGAAACUGCAUGACUAUAGGGUGGGAGAGGUAGAAGGAAUUCCCUGAGUAGCGGUGAAAUGCGUAGAUACAGGGAAGAACACCGGAGGCGAAAGCGUUCUACUGGAACACAACUGACACUGAGAGACGAAAGCUAGGGGAGCGAAUGGG